Molecule: ribosomal RNA, 66 nt
Filed under: uncultured archaeon
Lineage: Archaea
Description: partial 23S ribosomal RNA
Source: RNAcentral
GAGCUAUGCCUGCCAGGGGAUGGUUCGGUUCGAGUGCCGAUGAAGGGCGUGGUAAGCUGCGAUAAG